UCAGCUCGUGUCGUGAGAUGUUGGAUUAAGUCCCGCAACGAGCGCAACCAUCAUCUUCAGUUGCUAACGCGUAGGGCGAGCACUUAGGAGAAACUGCCUGGGAUGACUAGGAGGAAGGCGAGGAUGACGUCAAGUCCUCAUGGCCCUUAUGGGCUGGGCUACACACGUGCUACAAUGGCGGUGACAACGGGAAGCAAUUGGGCAACCUUGAGCAAAUCCCCAAAAACCGUCUCAGUUCGGAUUGUACUCUGCAACUCGAGUGCAUGAAGUUGGAAUCGCUAGUAAUCGUGGAUCAGCAUGCCGCGGUGAAUACGUUCCCGGGCCUUGUACACACCGCCCGUCACACCAUGGGAGUUGGUUUUACCUGAAGGCGGUGCGCUAACCUUUUGGAAGCAGCCGACCACGGUAGGGUCAGCGACUAGGGUGAAGUCGUAACAAGGUAGCCGUAGGGGAACCUGCGGCUGGAUCACCUCCUUUCUAAGGAUGUUUCAGGUGGAUUAUGCAUCACUGUCCAUGAAUUCCUUCCGAUAUAUAUACAGGCGCGUAGCUCAGUUGGUUAGAGCGCACGACUGAUAAUCGUGAGGUCGGCAGUUCAAAUCUGCCCGUGCCUACCAUAAUUGCGCACAAGACUGCGAUUAAAGUAUAUAUUGGAAUGAAUUUGCCAAAAUAUGGCAGCUAUUUGAUAAAGUAAGUGAAUUAGAUCUCAAGAACAUUAGCAUAUGAAGCUUGACCGCAUUCAUAUGUCUUGCUUGCGUUCCGUGUAUCGGUAGCUUAGAUUAUGCCUUAGUUUACGGUGCGAUCCAGCGUCUUAAAGGGCAUUUGGUGGACGCCUUGGCGUUGAGAGGCGAUGAAGGACGUAAUACGCUGCGAUA
Molecule: small RNA, 872 nt
Filed under: uncultured bacterium
Lineage: Bacteria
Description: bacterial SSU rRNA
Rfam family: Bacterial small subunit ribosomal RNA (bases 1-477)
Source: RNAcentral